UGGGGAAUAUUGCACAAUGGGCGCAAGCCUGAUGCAGCCAUGCCGCGUGUGUGAAGAAGGCCUUCGGGUUGUAAAGCACUUUCAGCGAGGAGGAAGGGUAGUGUGUUAAUAGCACAUUGCAUUGACGUUACUCGCAGAAGAAGCACCGGCUAACUCCGUGCCAGAAGCCGCGGGAAUACGGAGGGUGCAAGCGUUAAUCGGAAUUACUGGGCGUAAAGCGCACGCAGGCGGUUUGUUAAGUCAGAUGUGAAAUCCCCGCGCUUAACGUGGGAACUGCAUUUGAAACUGGCAAGCUAGAGUCUUGUAGAGGGGGGUAGAAUUCCAGGUGUAGCGGUGAAAUGCGUAGAGAUCUGGAGGAAUACCGGUGGCGAAGGCGGCCCCCUGGACAAAGACUGACGCUCAGGUGCGAAAGCGUGGGGAGCAAACA
RNAcentral lists this ribosomal RNA (427 nucleotides) under uncultured bacterium. RNAcentral's name for it is "partial 16S ribosomal RNA". It matches the Rfam family "Bacterial small subunit ribosomal RNA", at positions 355 to 774 of the family's 1533-position model. The record is from RNAcentral.